Molecule: ribosomal RNA, 422 nt
Filed under: uncultured archaeon
Lineage: Archaea
Description: partial 16S ribosomal RNA
Rfam family: Archaeal small subunit ribosomal RNA
Source: RNAcentral
CUACGGGGCGCACCAGCUGCGAAUCUUUUGCAAUGCACGAAAGUGUGACAAAGCGAACCAAAGUGUUUCACGCACGUGAAACUUUUCUUCAGUGUAAAAAAGUGGAGGAAUAAGGACCGGGAAAGACUGGUGCCAGCCGCCGCGGUAAUACCAGCGGUUCAAGUUGCAGCCAACAUUAUUGGGUCUAAAACAUCCGUAGCUUGUUUAUUAAGUUCCCUGUAAAAUUUUACGUCUCAAGCGUGAAGCUCGCGGGGAAUACUGAUAGGCUAGAGACCGGUAGAUGUGAGGAGUACGCUCGAGGUAAUGGUUAAAUAUGUUAAUCUUGGGUGGACUAACAAUCAGCGAAGGCACCUUACAAGGACGGAUCUGACAGUGAGGGAUGAAGGCCAGGGGCGCAAAACGGAUUAGAUACCCGAGUAGUC